GAAGGGACGCCUCCUGCUGAUUCUACGGAAUCCUGAGGCUUGUCGGGAGAUCAGAACCGAUCGAGGGAGUUCUGGCUUAGUUUGACAAAGUUAGCGACAGAAGUGAGGACUUGAGGAGACUUGAGCCCAGGGAGUGGGACAAAGGGACUCCCCUGCGUGGCUACCUGUCCAUUCACAAUGGCCUCCAUUCAUAAAGAGGGCUUUGGAGGAUCUUGAAAUUCCACUUAGUGCCCUAUGGGACCACAGAACUCUGAUCUAACCACUGAAUUUUCUAGUCUAUUCGAGCUCACUGAGACUGGCUCACUGGCUGACUACCCACACUGACUCUCCUGGAGGCUUCAGCACUGGCUAGGGAGACUUUGAAGCAGGGUGGGGCUACUACAGAGCAGAUGUGCAGGAGCCAGCUCAGGGUGGCCAACUCAGAACUCAGAAGCGCUGUGCUACAGCAAAUGACUCAAUAAACAGUCUUUUAGAGAGUGGACUUAAAAUCCCUUCUGCAAAGUGACUUUGGGAGGGAGGGCAUUGGCUUAUACACCUGAUAAAUCAUUUGGGGAUCACUUUACCAGGUAUCCAGUCACAAGAAUGCGUUUUGUACUCUCUCUCUCUCUCUCUCUCUCUCUCUCUCUCUCUCUCUCUC
Molecule: small RNA, 637 nt
Filed under: Rattus norvegicus (Norway rat)
Lineage: Eukaryota; Metazoa; Chordata; Mammalia; Rodentia; Muridae
Description: uncharacterized LOC108350719
Source: RNAcentral